Molecule: ribosomal RNA, 253 nt
Filed under: uncultured bacterium
Lineage: Bacteria
Description: partial 16S ribosomal RNA
Rfam family: Bacterial small subunit ribosomal RNA
Source: RNAcentral
UACGUAGGGUGCGAGCGUUAAUCGGAAUUACUGGGCGUAAAGCGUGCGCAGGCGGUUUUGUAAGCCAGAUGUGAAAGCCCCGGGCUCAACCUGGGAAUGGCAUUUGGGACUGCAAGGCUUGAGUGCGGCAGAGGAGACUGGAAUUCCUGGUGUAGCAGUGAAAUGCGUAGAUAUGCGGAGGAACACCGAUGGCGAAGGCAAUCCCCUGGGCCUGCACUGACGCUCAUGCACGAAAGCGUGGGGAGCGAACAGG